AGAUUGAACGCUGGCGGCAGGCCUAACACAUGCAAGUCGAGCGGUAGAGAGGUGCUUGCAUCUCUUGAGAGCGGCGGACGGGUGAGUAAUGCCUAGGAAUCUGCCUAGUGGUGGGGGAUAACGUUCGGAAACGGACGCUAAUACCGCAUACGUCCUACGGGAGAAAGCGGGGGACCUUCGGGCCUCGCGCCAUUAGAUGAGCCUAGGUCGGAUUAGCUAGUUGGUGAGGUAAUGGCUCACCAAGGCGACGAUCCGUAACUGGUCUGAGAGGAUGAUCAGUCACACUGGAACUGAGACACGGUCCAGACUCCUACGGGAGCAGCAGUGGGGAAUAUUGGACAAUGGGCGAAAGCCUGAUCCAGCCA
RNAcentral lists this ribosomal RNA (365 nucleotides) under uncultured soil bacterium. RNAcentral describes it as "bacterial SSU rRNA". It matches the Rfam family "Bacterial small subunit ribosomal RNA", at positions 26 to 394 of the family's 1533-position model. The record is from RNAcentral.